RNAcentral lists this long non-coding RNA (1128 nucleotides) under Canis lupus familiaris (dog). RNAcentral describes it as "lncRNA (ENSCAFG00030017879.1)". Lineage: Eukaryota; Metazoa; Chordata; Mammalia; Carnivora; Canidae. The record is from RNAcentral.
AUGUUCUUUCUGGAACUGACCUCUCUCCUCUCGGCACUUGGGUGGGGACGAGGCUACACGUGGGAAAGAAAUAACCCUGACCCAGUUGGACCCCUGCCUGAGGCCUCCUGGGCCCCAGGGUCUCUGCCCCCCCAAAGCCUUGGGGUUGGAGGGACCUCCUGGCCCCACAGUGAUCACAGCCCCCCGCUGCGAAAGCCCUCAGCACCCUCAGACCCCUUCGGCAGAGCACGGACUGGGCACGGGCGCCCGGCCCUCCACUGGCCUCGGGAGCUCAGCCCCCGCUGGGGUGGGGGUGCUGGAGAAAGCCACCCCAGGCCUGUCCACCCCAGGCCCCAGGGCCCCGCCGUUCGGGGGGCCGGGGCUCAGGCUCUCCCUGGAGACUCUCCCAGAAUGGACUUUUGUCUAGCUGGUCCCGCAGGGAAGCCCAGACCGUACUUGGCCAGGGCAGGGUGGGGGUCGGGGGACGGAGACCCCCGCCCGCCCCCUCUAGGCCUCAGAGCCAGGGCAGCUCCUGUGAGCUGCAGGGAGGAGGCGGCGGCAGGACCGAGGGACACUUCAAAAGUGGGGCUUUGGCGCCCUCUGCUGGUCGUGUCUGCAAACGGCCGCCCUGUCCCCCUUCCUGGCACAGGCAGGUGCCCCUCCCUGAAGGCGCCGCGCAGGGGCCCGAGCGGGCGGGGUCCCAGGCCAGGCUCCCCAAGAGGGGACGCGCGUGUCUCCCCUCGCGGCCCGGAGGGACACAGACGCUGCCCAGGGCUCCGCCGGGGCUCCGCCGGGGGGGCCUUUCCAAGAGCUCAGGCCACCGGUUCCUGGUCUCGCUCCCUCUCCGGGGCUGGCCCCCUCCAGGCAGCAGGCCCCCAAGGGCAGGGCACCCACCCUGGCAUCCCUGCAUCUGCCUCCCUUGCCCCUCAGGGUCUGCUCUGGCCUGGAGAGCAGCGAGGACGGUCAAUAUUUACUGACACGACAAGGCAAAUACUGCCCCAAUGGCCAGGCGGAAGUGCCAGUUUAUCGGUGCCAGGGGCAGGUGCAAUCUGGGGAGCCAGCCUGGAGGCAGCUGCACUGGCAGCACGUCCUCUGUGUGUGGGCACCGAGGGACAGACAUCCUGGCUCCAGCCUCAGUCUCCCCCUUGA